Molecule: ribosomal RNA, 443 nt
Filed under: uncultured bacterium
Lineage: Bacteria
Description: partial 16S ribosomal RNA
Rfam family: Bacterial small subunit ribosomal RNA
Source: RNAcentral
CCUACGGGGGGCAGCAGUGGGGAAUAUUGGUCAAUGGGCGGAAGCCUGACCCAGCCACGCAGCGUGCAGGAAGAAGGCUUUCGGGUUGUAAACUUCUUUUCUCAGGGACAUAACACGUGACGGUACCUGGGGAAUGAGCCACGGCUAACUACGUGGCAGCAGCCGCGGUAAUACGUAGGUGGCAAGCGUUAUCCGGAUUUACUGGGUGUAAAGGGCGUGUAGGCGGGAAAGCAAGUCAGAUGUGAAAACCAUGGGCUCAACCCGUGGCCUGCAUUUGAAACUGGUGUUCUUGAGUACUGGAGAGGCAGACGGAAUUCCUAGUGUAGCGGUGAAAUGCGUAGAUAUUAGGAGGAACACCAGUUGCGAAGGCGGUUUGCUGGAGAGCAACUGACGCUGAGGCGCGAAAGCGUGGGGAGCAAACAGGAUUAGAUACCCUAGUAGUC